UACGUAGGUGACGAGCGUUGUUCGGAUUUAUUGGGCGUAAAGGGUUCGUAGGAUGUUUAUUAAGAUUGGUGUGAAAUCCCAAGGCUCAACCUUGGAACUGCAUUGAUUACUGAUGAACUAGAGUAUCGUAGAGGAAAGUGGAAUUCCAGGUGUAGCGGUGGAAUGCGUAGAUAUCUGGAAGAACACCGACAGCGAAGGCAACUUUCUGGGCGAUAACUGACUCUGAGGAACGAAAGCAUGGGGAGCAAACAGG
This 253-nucleotide ribosomal RNA is filed under the name uncultured bacterium. Its description in RNAcentral is "partial 16S ribosomal RNA". It matches the Rfam family "Bacterial small subunit ribosomal RNA", at positions 524 to 776 of the family's 1533-position model. The record is from RNAcentral.